Molecule: long non-coding RNA, 200 nt
Organism: Aedes albopictus (Asian tiger mosquito)
Lineage: Eukaryota; Metazoa; Arthropoda; Insecta; Diptera; Culicidae
Exons: 3
Source: RefSeq, a predicted model, not a curated record
UUUGGCACUUAAGUCAAACGGAUUGCUCGAACAAACAAGCAAGUGUUUUCCAUACGACUGUGCUACCAGUGGCGUAUUUACUAAAGCAAAAUAAAUAUUAUUUCAAGUAGGAUGAGCAGGUAUCUCGUAGCAGAAGCUGCAUUAGAAAGCCACCGGGUAUCUACAACCGGAUGAGGAUGUUCCGACUGAGCAAACGGUAA